CAAUAGCGUAUAUUAAAGUUGUUGCGGUUAAAAAGCUCGUAGUUGGAUUUCUGUCGAGGGCGGCCGGUCCUUACUAUGUAAGUGCAUCUGGUUCGGUCUUGGCAUCCUCUUGGGGAUCGUUUCUGUGCUUGAUUGCAUGGGGCGGAAUUCAAGACUUUUACUUUGAGGAAAUUAGAGUGUUCACGGCAGGCAAGCGCCUUGAAUAUAUUAGCAUGGAAUAAUAAUAUAGGAUCUCGGUUCUAUUUUGUUGGUUUCUAGAAUCAGGAUAAUGAUUAAUAGGGAUAAUUGGGGGCAUUUGUAUUAACGCGUCAGAGGUGGAAUUCUUGGAUUGCGUUACGACAAACUACUGCGAAAGCAUUUGCCAAGGAUGUUUUCAUUGAUCAAGAACGAAAGUAUGGGGAUCGAAGACGAUUAGAUACCA
This 421-nucleotide ribosomal RNA is filed under the name uncultured eukaryote. RNAcentral describes it as "SSU rRNA". It matches the Rfam family "Eukaryotic small subunit ribosomal RNA", at positions 592 to 1017 of the family's 1831-position model. The record is from RNAcentral.